Molecule: long non-coding RNA, 3745 nt
Organism: Vicia villosa (hairy vetch)
Lineage: Eukaryota; Viridiplantae; Streptophyta; Magnoliopsida; Fabales; Fabaceae
Exons: 3
Source: RefSeq, a predicted model, not a curated record
ACUACUACAUAUGGCCUAUGGUAUCCAAAAGGAAAUGAGUGUCAUUUGGUAGGAUUCUCCGAUUCAGAUUUUGCUGGCUGCAAAUCCGAUAGAAAAAGCACUAGUGGAACGUGUCAUCUAUUCUCAAACUCAUUGAUAAGUUGGCAUAGUAAGAAACAAGUAUCGGUUGCAUUAUCCACUGCUGAGGCAGAAUAUGUAGCUGCUGGAAGCUGCUGUGCACAAAUAUUAUGGCUCAAGCAACAACUUCUUGACUUUGGUAUUAAGCUUGAUCGCAUACCUAUCAUGUGCGACAACACAAGCGCCAUAAACUUGAGUAAAAAUCCUGUCUUACACUCACGUACCAAACAUAUUGAAAUAAGGCAUCACUUUCUACGAGAUCAUGUAGAGAAAGGAGACGUUACUUUUGAACAUGUAGAAAGCAAGAAGCAACUAGCUGACAUCUUCACCAAACCUCUAGCAACGGAGCAAUACUUCAACAUUCGUAGGGAAUUAGGGAUACUCGAUAUCUCUAAUUUGGGCUAAUUACGUUUGUUUUCUCUUAAUAUUAUUUCUUUACUUUAUGUAUAUAUAUAUAUAUAUAUCUUUCUUGCUAACAUUUUUCUUAGCGUAAAGGUAGUUCAUCAUCAAGCCAGGCGUCAUAUUGAAAAAGCGGUAACGUAAUUGUUGUUCACUUCCAAAAAUAUUAUUGAUACUAUAAUAUGCUAUCAAUUAACAUGCUUAUAGUGACUUCAUGCAUAAAAACUGCUCUUGCUCACAUAUGUGUCUCAUGCUAUCAUUAACUACCUUUUAUCUACUAUACUGUACAUGCUAGCAUUGUUAUCUAUGGUUCUCUUGUUACUCUCCUAUUCUCUUGUUUUCUCUUUUUGAUGUUGACAAAGGGGGAGAUAGAUGCUGGAUGUACGGGGGAGCUUUGUUGAGAGAUUGCCUUGUUGAGAGAUAGAUGCUGGAUGUACGGGGGAGCUCUGUUGAGUCUUUAUCACUUACUACCAAAGCUUAGACGAAUGGUUUGCCAUCAUCAAAAAGGGGGAGUAUGUGAAUACAAGAUUACACUCAAAGAUGUUUUUGAUUCAUGGCAAACUCAAAUAAGCAUUCAAACAACAAGACGGAAGCAGAAAACUCAAAGAAAAGCAAGCAUUGAUCACUCAUAGGUCAACCCAUUAUGUUUAUAUGUUUAUAGGUUGACUCAACACAAGCAAAACAAGAAGAAUGCAGAAAAACAGCAGUUAGGUCGACCUACCAUCAACCCAGGUCGACCUAAAAUGGAGAAAAAUUCAUAUACUCCUGCUAGGUCGACCCACACAUCAUUUAGGUCGACCUAAAUUGAUGAAUUUUACAUACCAGCCUGUUAGGUCGACCUACACAUCAACUAGGUCGACCUAAUCUGAGAAAAUGUUCCCAGAACGCAUCAGAAGAGGAUUCUGGUCGACCUACUCCUUCAACAGGUCGACCUAACUGGGAGCAAACUUCAGCAAGCACUGCUAGGUCGACCUAACCCCUACAAGAGGUCGACCCAACUGAUCAAGAAAGUUCAAAAAUCAGUUUUUCUUGGUUCCAACUGGUAUGCAAUCAUAUAUAUUGUGCAAGGGUAAUUAUUCAAUGCAACACCAACGACUGAAAGAUACACAAACGCUUCUCAUCUUCGUUCUUCAUCAUCUCCAACACAAUUACACAUAAUCAUUCUUGCGUUGCGGGUUAGUGAUGAGUUCGAUAACGUCCAUGGAACGGAAUUGAAGAUUCCUAGUGGGUGAAGGUUUGUGGGGUUUGUUGGUGAAUAAAAUCUGCGGGUUUUGUCCUCCACGACGGGUGGUUCUUGGGGGUUUUUAUCAAGAGGCGUUCAUUGAGGAUUCGGCUGAGUGUAACGAUUGAGGAACGGGGAGUUCAAGGAAUCAAGACACUGCAGAAGGGAAUCAAAGUGAAGCUCUUGGAUAACCUUGAUCUUGCUCAAGAUUAAGGGGGAAGAAGAUUCAAAGGAUCGACAUAAGUGGUUUAUCGUUUAUCGCUUUGUUAUCUUCUUUGUAUAUACUACUUUCAACAUUAAUGAAAGAUUACCCAAUUUCAAUUUGGAAUUGGGGGCAGACGUAGUCGUAGCGAGGACGAUCGACGAACUGCCUAAACAAAUAUCGUGUUCUUGUCGCUUUUACUUUUUCAUUUACAUUCUGUUCAUAUUUGGUUAUAAUAGCAAAUUGAUCAACGAUUCGAGUGUUAAUAUUGUGAAUUAAGUUCGUUCAUAAACAUCACAAUCCAUCACACAUUGAAUUACCUUCAAUUUGAUCAUUAUCACCAAGUGUUUGUAUAUUUGUUUCUAUCACUCUUACUGCAUUGCAAACAUUGUCCAUCAUACAAAAAGUUAAUCUGAUUUUCAUAAGAGAAACGUCUUGAUUCUGCAACAUAUACUCUCAUCAUUUACUUCAAGUCUUUGACUGGUUUUUUAAACACAUAUAUAAUCGUUUCGAUAGUGGUUCGGAAUAGACGCGAGUCGAUUCAGAAUUACUUCCGCUGAAAAGUCGUUUUAAAUCCGUAAAACUGUGAACGAUCUAUUCACCCCCCCUCUAGAUCCUAAGGCCAGCGUCUAACAAUAUUCAUUUUCGCAAGAGGUUUGUUCUUCAUUGAAACAAUUUAUAUACCACUCUAUUUUUCACUGAAAUAGUUUAUUGAUCAUUUUAUUCAGGGUUUCUACGUUAUUUUUUCUAUUGAUCAUUCUGUUUCUACUAUUUUCCAUUUGUUUUUACUCAAAUGUUAUUGUUUGAUCCAGGUUAGUCGCUUUAUAGUCAUGGUCGAUUCUACAAACACCUCUCAUAUAACAUUUGCUGCAACCACUAUUAAUACAAAAUGUAAAAGAAAAACUAGAGGUGUCACGAUGUAUACCAAGGUGAAAAAAGACCACAAAAGUGGUGUUCGCUACUCGGUUAGAGUUGAUAUAGAAACCAACAGGGCUUAUGGUGAACAUGUUGAGGAUUUUAUGAGUUACAUUGUGUUACAAGGUAGAAGUAAAGUGACCAUUUUUUUAGAUGAUAGGCACGACGUUGAUGAUGACAUAAAAGACGCCAUAUGGAAAGAUAUUACGGAUAUGUUCAUUGUAAGUGCAAAUGAUACGAACGUGGAAAAGAAAUUGCUUACAUAUUAUGGUAAAUGCUAGAGGGGCUUUAAGACACAGCUCACCCAUGAUUAUAUUAAACAUGCAGAAGAUAAAGAAAUGCCUCCAUACGAGGUGUAUUCAUUUAUUAAUCAAUAUUUUUAAGAUAAAUUUGUAAAGUCUCGCACCAUUACUAACUUCUUGGCAAAGAGCCAAACAGGAAAGGAAAAUCUGUAGAAAUAUCUGUCCACAUAGGUUGUCUCAUGGAGGAUACCAAAGACUUGAAUAUACGAUGAUUGGAAAAAUAAAAAUAAACAAAGGGAGGAAGAUCUGGGAGGUUCUAUAACUCUUUAUUGCAUUUCAUCUCCAUUAUCAUGCUACAAGAAAUAGAAGAGAGCAUGUCAAAGAAAAGACGGUGAGUUCACAUCAUAUGCUACGCGCCAUGUGGUUCAAAAGAUUGAUGAUCUGGUUGAACAAACCAAAGUCGACUUCUUUACUUCAAAAGAUCGUCAUGACAUCAUGGUAGAAGCGAUUGGUACCGAGGAGCAUCAUCGGCGUGUAUGUGAUUUUUGAAGAGGCGUUGGCUUCAAGGUAUUUUUUGGACCAUCUAAAUCAUCUAGAGAGAAAAAACUAUAAGAGAGAGAUUGAAGAGAUAAUUAUCGUUGAGUUGGG